This 563-nucleotide ribosomal RNA is filed under the name uncultured bacterium. RNAcentral's name for it is "partial 16S ribosomal RNA". It matches the Rfam family "Bacterial small subunit ribosomal RNA", at positions 355 to 905 of the family's 1533-position model. The record is from RNAcentral.
UGGGGAAUUUUGGACGAAUUGGGGGCAACCCGUGAUCCAGCCAUCCCGCGUGUGCGAUGAAGGCCUUCGGGUUGUAAAGCACUUUUGGCAGGGAAGAAACAGCCUGGGAUAAUACCCCGGGCGACUGACGGUACCUGCAGAAUAAGCACCGGCUAACUACGUGCCAGCAGCCGCGGUAAUACGUAGGGUGCAAGCGUUAAUCGGAAUUACUGGGCGUAAAGCGUGCGCAGGCGGUUCGGAAAGAAAGGUGUGAAAUCCCAGGGCUUAACCUUGGAACUGCACUUUUAACUACCGAGCUAGAGUACGUCAGAGGGGGGUAGAAUUCCACGUGUAGCAGUGAAAUGCGUAGAGAUGUGGAGGAAUACCGAUGGCGAAGGCAGCCCCCUGGGAUGAUACUGACGCUCAUGCACGAAAGCGUGGGGAGCAAACAGGAUUAGAUACCCCUGGGUAGUCCACGCCCUAAACGAUGUCAACUAGCUGUUGGGGUUUAUUAACCUUAGUAGCGCAGCUAACGCGUGAAGUUGACCGCCUGGGGGAGUACGGUCGCAAGAUUAAAACUCAAA